AAUAGAUACCCUGGUAGUCCACGCCGUAAACGAUGAGUGCUAAGUGUUAGAGGGUUUCCGCCCUUUAGUGCUGCAGCAAACGCAUUAAGCACUCCGCCUGGGGAGUACGGCCGCAAGGCUGAAACUCAAAGGAAUUGACGGGGGCCCGCACAAGCGGUGGAGCAUGUGGUUUAAUUCGAAGCAACGCGAAGAACCUUACCAGGUCUUGACAUCUCCUGACAACCCUAGAGAUAGGGAGUUCCCCUUCGGGGGACAGGAUGACAGGUGGUGCAUGGUUGUCGUCAGCUCGUGUCGUGAGAUGUUGGGUUAAGUCCCGCAACGAGCGCAACCCUUGAUCUUAGUUGCCAGCAUUCAGUUGGGCACUCUAAGGUGACUGCCGGUGACAAACCGGAGGAAGGUGGGGAUGACGUCAAAUCAUCAUGCCCCUUAUGACCUGGGCUACACACGUGCUACAAUGGAUGGUACAAAGGGCUGCGAGACCGCGAGGUUAAGCGAAUCCCAUAAAACCAUUCUCAGUUCGGAUUGCAGG
RNAcentral lists this ribosomal RNA (529 nucleotides) under uncultured bacterium. RNAcentral describes it as "bacterial SSU rRNA". It matches the Rfam family "Bacterial small subunit ribosomal RNA", at positions 777 to 1304 of the family's 1533-position model. The record is from RNAcentral.